This 232-nucleotide non-coding RNA is filed under the name Rhodospirillum rubrum. Lineage: Bacteria; Pseudomonadati; Pseudomonadota; Alphaproteobacteria; Rhodospirillales; Rhodospirillaceae. RNAcentral also lists the same sequence under 1 other name. The record is from RNAcentral.
AGAGCGAAGGGGACUGCCGGUUCCAGGCCGGGCAUAACGCCCCGGCUGGAUUAAAACGGGAACACGGUGCGGCCCCUUGCGGGCCCAAUCCGUGACUGCCCCCGCAACUGUGAGUGGUGAGCCCCUCUCCAUUCGGCCACUAGGACCAGCGCUCGCGCGCGUCGUCCCGGGAAGGCGGAGAUCAGGGUCAGGACCCACGAGUCAGGAGACCUGCCGGCUGGUCGUCACCUAA